CCUACGAGUGGCUGCAGUGAGGAAUAUUGGUCAAUGGCCGGAAGGCUGAACCAGCCAAGCCGCGUGAAGGACGAAGGUGCCAAGCAUUGUAAACUUCUUUUGUCAAGGGACAAAAUCAGGCUCGAGAGCCUGACCGAGGGUACUUGAAGAAAAAGCAUCGGCUCACUCCGUGCCAGCAGCCGCGGUAAUACGGAGGAUGCGAGCGUUAUCCGGAUUUAUUUGGGUUAACGGGUGCGUAGGCGGACUGUUAAGUCAGUGGUAAAAGGCCGGGGCUCAACCCCGGAGAGCAGGUGAAACUGGCUGUCUUGAGAUGUCGAGAGGUAUGCGGAAUGCGCAGUGUAGCGGUGAAAUGCUUAGAUAUUGCGCAGAACUCCGAUUGCGAAGGCAGCAUACCGGCGGCGAUCUGACGCUGAGGCACGAAAGCGUGGGUAUCGAACAGGAUUAGAUACCCCAGUAGUC
This 459-nucleotide ribosomal RNA is filed under the name uncultured bacterium. RNAcentral describes it as "partial 16S ribosomal RNA". It matches the Rfam family "Bacterial small subunit ribosomal RNA", at positions 338 to 795 of the family's 1533-position model. The record is from RNAcentral.